AAUCUAGAAGAUAUAACUUCUACCUUGCUAAAGAACAAAAGUUGUUUGGCAUUCCUUUCAGAAAAGGAGUACCUUGAUGAAGGUAUUGAUGCCUUUAAUAUAUAACUUAUGAAAUUCGACAGGUAAAAGAACUGACACAAUCUAAUGAACCUAUAAAAUCAAAUUUGAUUAGAUCAAAUCCAGAACCCAUUGUAAAGACACC
RNAcentral lists this long non-coding RNA (202 nucleotides) under Elaeis guineensis (African oil palm). RNAcentral's name for it is "long non-coding RNA (EGUI_LNC036950)". Lineage: Eukaryota; Viridiplantae; Streptophyta; Magnoliopsida; Arecales; Arecaceae. The record is from RNAcentral.